This 488-nucleotide ribosomal RNA is filed under the name uncultured bacterium. RNAcentral's name for it is "partial 16S ribosomal RNA". It matches the Rfam family "Bacterial small subunit ribosomal RNA", at positions 28 to 507 of the family's 1533-position model. The record is from RNAcentral.
GACGAACGCUGGCGGCGUGCUUAACACAUGCAAGUCGAACGGAAAGGCCCUGCUUUUGUGGGGUGCUCGAGUGGCGAACGGGUGAGUAACACGUGAGUAACCUGCCCUUGACUUUGGGAUAACUUCAGGAAACUGGGGCUAAUACCGGAUAGGAGCUCCUGCUGCAUGGUGGGGGUUGGAAAGUUUCGGCGGUUGGGGAUGGACUCGCGGCUUAUCAGCUAGUUGGUGGGGUAGAGGCUUACCAAGGCUUUGACGGGUAGCCGGCCUGAGAGGGUGACCGGCCGCACUGGGAGUGAGACACGGUCCAGACGCCUACGGGAGGCAGCAGUGGGGAAUAGGGGACAAUGGGCGGAAGCCUGAUCCAGCCAUCCCGCGUGGGUGAAGAAGGCCUUCGGGUUGGAAAGGCCGUUUGUGGGGAAAGAAAAGCAGCAGGUUAAUACCCCGCUGUUCUGACGGUACCCAAAGAAGAAGCACCGGCUAACUUCGUG